UCUGUCAGCUAGCUUGCUGCAAUUCUAACAUGGUCCUAACAUGGCCCACUGAAGCUAAGCGGGGUCAUGCCUGCUCAGUACCUGGAUGGAAGACCACAUGGGAAAGCUAGGUUGCUGCCAGAA
Ribosomal RNA from Danio rerio (zebrafish), 123 nucleotides. Lineage: Eukaryota; Metazoa; Chordata; Actinopteri; Cypriniformes; Danionidae. The record is from Ensembl.